Molecule: ribosomal RNA, 253 nt
Filed under: uncultured bacterium
Lineage: Bacteria
Description: partial 16S ribosomal RNA
Rfam family: Bacterial small subunit ribosomal RNA
Source: RNAcentral
AACGGAGGGUGCAAGCGUUGUUCGGAAUUACUGGGCGUAAAGCGCGUGCAGGUGGUUUAUUAAGUUUUAUGUGAAAUCCCUUGGCUCAACCAAGGAACUGCAUGAAAUACUGAUGAACUAGAAUUCGGUAGGAGAGGGCGGAAUUCCCAGUGUAGAGGUGAAAUUCGUAGAUAUUGGGAGGAACACCAGUGGCGAAAGCGGCUCUCUAGAACGAUAUUGACGCUCAUACGCGACAGCAUGGGGAUCAAACAGG